RNAcentral lists this long non-coding RNA (16853 nucleotides) under Sorghum bicolor (sorghum). RNAcentral's name for it is "long non-coding RNA (SBIC_LNC001070)". The record is from RNAcentral. Lineage: Eukaryota; Viridiplantae; Streptophyta; Magnoliopsida; Poales; Poaceae.
CUGCUCCAUAAAUGGAUACAACUUCUACAAGACGAUUUGCGACACCGGAUCAGGCGUCAACAUAAUGGCCGCAGUCACCUAUCGGCUCUUGUUCGGGACCAUGCCACUAAGACCAACAUACAUUCAGCUCCAGAUGGCAGAUCAGACAUUUCGAGAAGUUAAAGGAAUAGUAUCUGAUGUCCCAGUCAAAAUAGACGAUCACUUUGUCUACACAGACUUUCAAGUUGUUGACAUGGGAGAAGACGAGUAUGAUCCACCCAUCAUCCUUGGAAGGCCGUUCCUCAGCACCGUUAAAGCAAUUAUCUACAUUGGAACCGGAGAAGUCCAUAUGCACUUCCCCUCAGAGAAGGUACGCCGUUAUUUUACUGACCCUAACUAUAUCGUUGAAGAAUCUAAGCAGGUCAGAAAGAGACGCAACCGCAACCAGAGGAGGCAGAUCAUCAAGGACGGAUGGGCAGACUAUGAAGGAGAAGUUGUAAGGUCAGAAGACGUAGAGUUUAAACAGAAUUAUCCAGAGGAGAUUGAAGCACCGAGUCAGGUAUGGAAAAUGAAGAUAACUAUACAAGAAGAGGAGGUGCUGCCGGAAGUACCGACUACGCCACCCAACAAACCUCAGGACGAUUAAGAAAUUGGAGAGUCCCGUUCGGACGACUUAAAAACACCGAACGCCUUGCCAAGAGGUAAACUUGGUAGUUACCCUUUCCUUCUCAAUUAUUUCAAAUAGGUUAUUUAGUUAAACAUGUUCAUGCUAUCCUAAAAAGAAAAUAAAAAUAUAAAAACAGGGAGUAAUAAUUAUUAAGGAGUCUCAAGAUGAUGAAGGCUAUAUAUUUAUGCUAACACUUAAUUAGUUCCACAAGCUUUGUUGUCUAUUUGAGUUCCACAGAAUUCAAGAAGACUAGCAGACGGAGGACAUUCUAAUCGCUGUCAGAAUGUUGCUGACUUUCAACUACACCUCUGCCACCUGCUAGCUACAUCGAGAGAAAUUACGUCAAAAUUCAGCUUGGGGGAGAGCACCCCCAUUUAUUCCGAUAAGUAUUUUUAUCUAUCUUUAUACUUAUAUUAUUUUAGAAUAUUAAAAUACAUAAACUAUGGGAAAACCAAAUAAAGAUUUUAUGCUUAUAUAUAUAUGUCUUUUGCUUAGUGUGUUUAAUAAAUAAAUAAAGUGGCUAUGCUAAUCUGUAUCUAAAUAAAACUUAAGCAUGGAUUUGAUGAACAGUUGCUCUGCCUAAUUUGCAAAUUUUAAGUUCUCUCUCAAGUUUAGACAUAACAGUUAUAAUUUAAAGCUUGCUCUAGACCUAAACUUGUGGGAUGAAAACUUGAUUUGAAGUCUAAGUUGUUAACGGAUACGAUAUGGGAAGGUUGAGCUGCUGUUUAUCUGUUCCUAGAGAUGCUAGAAUUCUAGAGAAUUUUAUCUUUGAAAAUCUUUAAAAUGUUGCAUGAUGAGUUCCUGUAUGAUGAGAGCUUAAAAUUCCUACCACAGCCAUAUAUACAUGCUUGCUAGACUUUGAGCCACACAUUUAUUAUUUACUGCUUAUGAGCAUUGAGUGUGGUCAAGCUGUGUAGACCCUUAAGAAGCUUGUCAUGUGGUUAAAUCAAGAUUUCACUUACACGUUCACUCAUAUAUGCUACUUCUAUUCCAGAAGUACCAUCCACAUAUAUCCACCCAUUCCAUCUCCAGAAUCACCCAAAAAUAUUCUACUCCUAACCCGGGAGAGAAUAACCAAAAAUAUUUCUGUUUUCCCCUUGUAAAAUAAAUGCUCAAGUUAUCUUGUUACUACCACUUGCUAUAUUAUCUCAAGAGAUGAAUGCUCUAAAAAAAAGAGAGAAAAUAAUACGAGGAAAUAAAAAGGAGCAAGUGCUCGGAACCUCGAAAGAAAAGAAAAAGUGAGACGAGAGGUAAAAAUGGACAAGUGUCCGACAGUAGAAUUAGGGGUGCAAGAUACCCACCUGAGAGACAAGAAAAAGAAGAGCAUCUCAUUCUCCUCAUAAAGUUUCAAAAGCAAGGAAGGUAUGUAUCCCCUCAAAAGAGCAAAGUAGAAUUAGACUUCCACCACCAUUGUUUUCACCAUUGUUAUCACCAUCAUCACCAUAUACCAUUCAUUCGCCACACAUGCACAUCUUGAUUAAACUUAUUGACUUGUUACUUUGGAUCCAUGGUUUGACUAUGCAAUAAAUGUCUUGUAAGUAUGUAUAUUUUAUCUCCCACCUAUGAGCUCCAGAUAUUAAAGCCUUAUUAGAGUAGGAUGAGAGAGAAGGCAAUGUCACUAUGCCUCAUACCACAAAUACCACAUAUCUUGAGAGAAGGCAUAUACCAUCAAUGCCUUGGUAAGGAUCCAGAAAUACCACAAAAGAGAGACCUGAGAGAAUCAUACAAGGAAUCUCUGAGUUUUAUUUGAAAAUCUGCAAAAAUCCCAGAGCUAUAGCUGAUCAAGAAUAAGAGACAUGGCACUUGGCUAGACUGUUCUAUCUUUUAACCACUCAAGACAGAAGUGACAGUUACAAGUCCCAUGGUGGAGGUAAAGUAAGUAAGUUUUAAGUCUUGACAGUUUACUCUAACUUAGAGAUGAGAUCUUAUUUAAAAGCAUGUGUACCGUCAAAUUUUUAAAUAUAUUGCAACAACUUAUCAUCCAUAGCUAAGUCUAUCCUUGCUCAGGGACGAGCAAGAGGUAAGCUUGGGGGAGUUUGUUGACGGUCUUUAAGUAUCAAAUUUAAUUAUCAAAUAAAUAAAGAAAAGGAUCCAAAUGAAAUCAAGAUCUAGACUUAGGGUUUUAUCUGACAGAAUUCCACGUGUUUUGGUGUUUGUCUAUUUCUGCAGGGGGUUAUCAGGAAAUAUGGAAGAAAGGCCCACAUGUCAGGAUUACGUAAAGAUAUUAACGUGCUGCGCAAUUAUCUUACAUCUAGAAAACUCUAGAAGCCACGAGACCGAAGCGGAGGCGAAACGGGGCCAGAGGCAGGGCGCUCGCCCUGUCCUACUGGGCGCCCGCCCCCUGUCCAAGUCCAAUCAGUACUAUGCUUUGCGGGAAGUCUCCACCGACCUAAAGGAUGAAUCUAAACCAUACAAUCUAUGUCGGUUUGAUCCAAGGGCCCAUAUUCACUUGAAGGGACUAUAAAACCAGACCCCCUGGCCCCUGGAGGAGGGAGCCUCUCAACCCUAAUUCAUUGUUCCAUCAAGGGAGAAGAAGCCUCUGAUCGAGAUUAGAGCCACCACAUCAAUUAGAUAUCUAGAUUAGCAUAGCUACAUAGGAUUAGACCUAGAAGGAGUCAAUCUUCGAUUGGUUUCCGGAUCUGUCAGGAGGAUUCUUGGUAAUUCUCUAAUUGUGCUUCUAAUUGCUUUCUAAUUAUCUUUGUUCUUCAAUAUUAUGAAUAUGACUUUGUUCUACUUCAAUAUAUUGCUUAUGACUUUGCUCUAUUUGCUCAUAUUCAAGAUUAUAUUGUUCUUAGUUUAUCAUAGUUAUGUACUUAGCUUAGUUAGAUACGAUCUAUAUACAUGCUUAGGAUCGUAUAGCGUUUAUCCAUCGGAUCCAUGGGUAAAUGAUAGAUAUUGUGUAGGCAUGGUGCUUAUACCGUAUUUAUCUGCGAUUGUACCCAAUAUGCCAGAUCGUUGGGUAGUUCGUGAUAGUGACAGCUUCAUUGAUUCUUAUAUAGUCCCCCUCUCGUGUAUUGGGCUGGCAGAGCAACAUUAUUACAGGGGAGUGAUUGCUAUGUUUCUCAUAUUUCUUGCUAAUAUCACUAUGCAUGGGCGUAGUCUUGUCUCACAAUGAUUGCUAAGUAUGCUUGCACUAACUAUGAUAUGCUAGACUAUAUAGUUAAGAAUAACUUAGGGAAUAUUCUUGUAGUUCGUUCUAAUACCAUGCUAAUGACUUUCUAGAGUAUCUAAUUGAGGUGCUUAUCAUAUUUAUUAUGUGGCUAGAUUAGAUUAGUUAUCCUUGUCAUUAUUAUUAUUUCAUAUAUCUUUUAUGUGACACUUAUCCCUGUAUGAUGAGUUAGAUAUAAUGUUCUCAAUUAUACAUGCAAUGAUAGAUGCUCAAUCUCAUAUUCUAUUCUGUAAUCAUUAGUGAUGAUUUCUAAUCCCUUCCCAGUGGUAAAAAUAUAAAUAACGAUACCUGGAAUACUUCCCGGUUAAAAUGCUACAUCGGUAUUAAUCUGUGCGCUUGCAGAUCCCAUUCAUUAUUUAUUUAGAAGAGCAAUUGCAUAUUUCAAUACCGCGUCUCUUAUAUCAUGCUGGGGAUGACAACUUGGCUUAAGUGGUGUAAGGGAUAGGUUUGGCAUUUUUGGCACCGUUGCUAGAUUUAGAGAACUUAGUCUACUUUUAGUAAUGAUGUUAAGAAUACCCAACACCCACACUCCUAAUCACAUGAACUAAAAUGUUGCACACACAAUCUUUGGAAGAUAUAUAUAAAAACAUAAGUAUAGAUAGAUUAUCUUUCCAUUAGGUUGAGCGAUCUGAUCUGAUAGAUCUUUUAAAUGUUACACUCAUAAUCUUAUUAUCCAUCAACUUUGUCUUGCUCACUAAGCUUAAGGUUAGAGAAGAACAAAUACACUUUUGGUUCUGUUGGUGUUUUCCACCAACAGGGCCCAUGCACUUGAUCUCUGCCUUGUUUCUAUGAGCAGGUACACUUCGAUCAAAAUAUGAAGGACUUUUACAACUCCCAGAUCCACCAAGUGAAGAACCUAGAUCUACGAGCACAAACACACUGGAGAUACUGGACACUCAGGCAUCACUGCCAUAAGAGGCUUGAGGAUGUAACUACUGGAGUAACUGUUGAUGGUCCUCAAGUAUCAAAUUUAAUUAUUAAAUAAACAAAGAAAAGGAUCCAAAUGAAAUCAACAUCUAGACUUAGGGUUUUAUCUGACAGAAUUCCAUGAGUUUUGGUGUUUGUCUAUUUCUGCAGGGGGUUAUCAGGAAAUAAGGAAGAACGGCCUACAUGUCGGGAUUACGUAAAGAUAUUAAUGUGCUGCGCAAUUAUCUUACAUCUAGAAGACUCCAGAAGCCACGAGACUGAAGCGGAGGCGAAACGAGGCCUGACCCUGGGUGCCCGCCCAGUUGGUCAGGGCGCCCGCCCUGCCCCUGAGUCCAAUCAGGACUCUGCUUUGCGGGAGAUUUCCACCAACCUAAAGGAUGAAUCUAAACCAUACAAUCUAUGUUGGUUUGAUCCAACGGCCCAUAUUCACUUGAAGGGACUAUAAAACCAGACCCCCUGGCCCCUGGAGGAGAGAGCCUCUCAACCCUAAUUCAUUGUUCCAUCAAGGGAGAAGAAGCCUCUGAUCAAGAUUAGAGCCACCACAUCAAUUAGAUAUCUAGAUUAGCAUAGCUACAUAGGAUUAGAACUAGAAGGAGUCAAUCUUCGAUUGGUUUCCGGAUCUGUCAGGAGGAUUCUUGGUAAUUCUCUAAUUGUGCUUCUAAUUGCUUUCUAAUUAUCUUUGUUCUUCAAUAUUAUGAAUAUGACUUUGUUCUACUUCAAUAUAUUGCUUAUGACUUUGCUCUAUUUGCUCAUAUUCAAGAUUAUAUUGUUCUUAGUUUAUCAUAGUUAUGUACUUGGCUUAGUUAGAUUGGAUCUAUAUACAUGCUUAGGAUCGUAUAGUGUUUAUCCAUCGGAUCCAUGGGUAAAUGAUAGAUAUUGUGUAGGCGUGGUGCUUAUACCAUAUUUAUCUGCGAUUGUACCCAAUAUAACAGAUCGUGGGGUGGUUCGUGAUAGUGACAGCUUCAUUGAUUCUUAUAUAGUCCCCCUCUCAUGUAUUGGGCUGGCAGAGCAACAUUAUUACAGGGGAGUGAUUGCUAUGUUUCUCAUAUUCCUUGCUAAUAUCACUAUGCAUGGGCGUAGUCUUGUCUCGCAAUGAUUGCUAAGUAUGCUUGCACUAACUAUGAUAAUGCUAGACUAUAUAGUUGAGAAUAACUUACGGAAUAUUCUUGUAGUUCGUUCUAAUACCAUGCUAAUGACUUUCUAGAGUAUCUAAUUGAGGUGCUUAUCAUAUUUAUUAUGUGGCUAGAUCAGAUUAAUUAUCUUUGUCGCUAUUAUUAUUUCAUAUAUCCUUUAUGUGACACUUAUCCCUGUAUGAAGAGUUAGAUAUAAUGUUCUCAAUUAUACAUGCAAUGAUAGAUGCUCAAUCUCAUAUUCUAUUCUGUAAUCAAUAGUGAUGAUUGCUAAUCCUUUCCCAGUGGUAAAAAUAUAAAUAACGAUACCUGGAAUACUUCCCGGUUAAAAUGCUGCAUCGGUAUUAAUCUGUGCGCUUGCAGAUCCCAUUCAUUAUUUAUUUAGAAGUGCAAUUGCAUAUUUCAAUACCGUGUCUCUUAUAUCAUGCUGGGGAUGACAACUUGGCUUAAGUGGUGUGAGGGAUAGGUUUGGCAUUUUUGGCAUCGUUACUAGAUUUAGAGAACUUAGUUUACUUUUGGUAAUGAUGUUAAGAAUACCCAACAAGCAUUUUUGGCGCCGUUGCCGGGGAAGGUUGAUUACCAAUCAGGAAUGGAAUAAAAGAUUUUGAGUUAUCAUUCGCAUCACUAAUAUGAUUGAGCUUAUCUAUUCUCUCAUACAGUUUUACCCCAAUAUUUUUCUAUUUUAUCUUAUUCAGGGGAAUGUAUGAAUAGAAGACAUCUUCCAGGAAAUUUUGUUGACAAUCCCGAAGCAUUAUUCAAGAAGACGAGAGCAAAGCUCAAGAAGAGAUCAUCAACACUUCACGAAGAAGCUUCAUCCAUUCAAGAAGAUCACCGGAACUUGUCUUCAGAGUUCGAAGCCAUGGCGAACAAAUCGAUACGCGAGUUCUCAGCUCCCACUACGGACAACAUCCGCACUGGACCUGCUGCAGAGAUCGACGGCAACUUUGAGCUAAAGCCUGGACUUAUCAACAUGGUGCAAUCCAACCAGUUCUGUGGGAAGGCACACGAAGAUGCUAGUGCUCAUUUACAACACUUCCUGGAGAUUUGCAACACAUUCACCAUAGCAGGAGUUACCAAAGACGCUAUACUACUUCGCCUCUUCCCAUUCUCACUGUUAGGAAGAGCGAAGCAGUGGUUCUAUGCUACAAAGGAGAAGAAUACUACGUCGGCACUCUGCUCAACCAACUUCCUGGCUAAGUUCUUUCCCAUGGGCAAAACCAAUGCUCUCCGUGGGAAGAUUACAAGUUUUCAGCAACAAAAUGAUGAAUCUGUUCCAGAAGCAUGGGAGCGCUUUCAAGACUACAUCCUAGAAUGUCCCCAUCAUGGAAUGGAGAGUUGGCUAUUGAUGCAGACAUUUUAUCAUGGGCUCGGCAACAGUGCCCGAGAGACCAUGGAUGUUGCAGCUGGAGGAGCAUUCAUAUCACUUACUAUACCACAAGCCACAACUCUUGUGGAGAAGAUGGCGUCCAAUCAAAGCUGGAAUGAAGAGAGGACCCAGACACAUAAGAGAGGUGGAGGCAUGCAUCAGCUGAAGGAGGUAGACAUGCUGUCUGCAAAGCUAGACCUGCUCAUGAAGAAGCUCGACGAUAGAGCUGGAGAUAAGAAGGAAGUUAUGCACAUCUACGACUCUCACAUGACUUGUGAGGAGUGUGGAGACACUGGACACUCCGGCAACCACUGCCCUGAGAUGCUUGAGGAUGUGAACUACAUCAACAACAACAACUACUACUACUACAACCGUCCUCAACAAAAUCAAGGUUGGAAUCAACAGAGGCCUAACUACUCAGGUAAUUAUCAAGGUAACAAUUCUUACAACAAUAAUAAUAAUUUUCCACCUUUGAGAGAGUUAGUGUCUAAUCAAGGAAAGCUAAUGGAUAACCUAUCUAAGAAAUUGGCAUCUAAUGAUAAAAUGCUAGAAAAUAUAAAUAAUAGAAUGGAUAAUUUCUCUACUGCCAUCAAGAAUCAAAUUAGCUUUAAUAAAAUGAUUGAAUCCCAGUUAAAUCAAAUAGCUGCUGCUGUUCCUACUACUAACCCCGGUAUACCAUCACAACCGGAAGGAUUAGAAUCUGCAAAUCUUGUAGACAUGUUUGAUGCGGGUAAUUGGAGUAACCCCGUCACUGAAUUCUCUACUGACCUUCUGCCGGUCAAGAGAGGCGAUCCAGGACGCCCCGUCAUCUCGAUCUCCAUCGGCAUGGUGGACGUUCCAGAAGCACUCUGUGACUUUGGCUCCAGCGUCAACAUUAUACCCAGGGUACUCUAUGAAAAAUUCUUUACAUAUCCUUUAUUAGAGACAACCAUGUGUUUGCAGUUUGCAGAUCAGACGAUAACUUUUCCAAAAGGAAUAGUGAAGAACCUUUGUGUCCGAGUUGGUACCUUAUAUGCCCCAGCAGACUUCGUAGUGGUAGAGACCGGAAAUGAUGAGACAGCACCUAUCAUCCUAGGGAGGCCAUUCUUGAACACCACGGGAGCUAUCAUCUACGCCAGUGCUGCCAAGAUCAGUUUCUACGUCAAAGGGAAGAAGGAGACAUUUUUCUUCAAGAACAAGACUACACAAAUUCCAAAUCAAUCCAGACGUGAAUCAAGGAAGAGGACCAACAGGAGGAACAGGAACAAGCAAGUGUGGACCGAGUCAGCUAAGAUGGUCACUGUAGUUCAUAGAGGUCAAGAUCAUCAACUUAAGUCACCGUUUUUGACCAAGAAGGACGACCCAGGAAUGCCAAGCAUUUACUGCUCCAUACAUGGAUAUAGCUUCUACAAGACGAUUUGCGACACCGGAUCGGGCGUCAACAUAAUGGCCGCAGUCACCUAUCGGCUCUUGUUCGGGACCAUGCCACUAAGGCCAACAUACAUUCAACUCCAGAUGGCAGAUCAGACAUUUCGAGAAGUUAAAGGAAUAGUAACUGAUGUCCCAGUCAAAAUAGACGAUCACUUUGUCUACACAGACUUUCAAGUUGUUGACAUGGGAGAAGACGAGUAUGAUCCACCCAUCAUCCUUGGAAGACCGUUCCUCAGCACUGUUAAAGCAAUUAUCUACAUUGGAACCGGAGAAGUCCAUAUGCACUUCCCCUCAGAGAAGGUACGCCGUUAUUUUAUUGACCCUGACUAUAUCGUUGAAGAAUCUAAGCAGGUCAGAAAGAGACGCAACCGCAACCAGAGGAGGCAGAUCAUCAAGGACGGAUGGGCAGACUAUGAAGGAGAAGUUGUAAGAUCAGAAGACGUAGAGUUUAAACAGAAUUAUCCAGAGGAGAUUGAAGCACCGAGUCAGGUAUGGAAAAUGAAGAUAACUAUACAAGAAGAGGAGGCGCUGCCGGAAAUACCGACUACGCCACCCAACGAAUCUUAGGACGAUUAAGAAAUUGGAGAGUCCCGUUCGGAGGACUUAAAAACACCGAACGCCUUGCCAAGAGGUAAACUUGGUAAUUAUCCUUUCCCUUUCAAUUAUUUUACUUAGUUAAUCAUAUUCAUACUAUCCUAAAAAGAAAAUAAAAAUGUGAAAAACAGUACGCCCCAUGUGAGUAUGCGAGUGGCAUAAAACCCAUAAGUACAUUCGCUGUGGUGGCAUAAAAAUAAAAUAAAUUUCUUUUCUGCUUUAUAAAAAAUGAAAAUAUAAAAAUAGGGAGUAAUAAUUAUUAAGGAGACUCAAUAUGAUAAAGGCUAGAUAUUUAUGCUAGCACUUAAUCAGUUCCACAAGCUUUGUUGUCUAUUUGAGCUCCAUAGAAUUUAGGAAUCAAGGAAGACUAGCAGACGGAGGACAUUCUAAUCGCUGUCAGAAUGCUGCUGACUUUCAAAUACACUUCUGCCACCUGCUAGCUCCAUCAAGAGAAAUUACGUCAAAAUUCAGCUUGGAGGAGAGCACCCUCAUUUAUCCCGAUGAGUAUUUCUAUCUAUCUAUCUAUCUAUCUUUAUACUUAUAUUAUUUUAGAAUAUAAAUAUACAUAACUAUGGAAAACCAAAUAAAGAUUUUAUGCUUAUAUAUAUUUGUCUUUUGCUUAGUGUGUUUAAUAAAAAAAUAAAGUGGCUAUGCUAAUCUGUAUCUAAAUAAAACUUAAGCAUGGAUAUGAUGAAUAGUUGCUCUGCCUAAUUUGCACAUUUUAAGUUCUCUCUCAAGUUUAGAUAUAACUGUUAUAAUUUAAAGCUUGCUCUAGACCUAAACUUGUGGGAUGAAAAUUUGAUCUGAAGUCUAAGUUGUUAACGGAUAUGAUAUGGAAAGGUUGAGCUGCUGUUUAUCUGUUCCUAGAGAUGCUGGAAUUCUAGACAAUUUUAUCUUUGAAAAUCUUUAAAAUGUUGCAUGAUGAGUUCCUGUAUGAUGAGAGUUUAAAUUCCUACCACAGCCAUAUAUACAUGCUUGCUAGACUUUGAGCCACACAUUUACUAUUUACUACUUAUGAGCAUUGAGUGUGGUCAAGCUGUGUAGACCCUUAGGAGCUUGUCAUGUGGUUAAAUCAAGAUUUCACUUGCACGUUCACUCAUAUAUGCUACUUCUACUCCGGAAGUACCAUCCACAUAUAUUCACCCAUUCCAUCUCCAAAACCACCUAAAAAUAUUCUACUCCUAAUCCGGGAGAGAAUAACCAAAAAUAUUUCUGUUUUCCCUUGUGAAAUAAAUGAUCAAGUCAUCUUGUUACUACCACUUGCUAUAUUAUCUCAAGAGAUGAGUGCUCUAAAAAAAAGAAAGAAAGAAAAAAAAAUACGAGGAAAUAAAAAGGAGCAAGUGCUCGGAACCUCGAAAGAAAAAGAAAAAGUGAGACGAGAGGUAAAAAUGGACAAGUGUCCGACAGUAGAAUUAGGGGUACAAGAUACCCACCUGAGAGAAAAGAAAAAGAAGAGCAUCUCAUUCUCCUCAUAAAGUUUCAAAAAGCAAGGAAGGUAUGUAUCCCCUCAAAGAGCAAAAGUAGAAUUAGACUUCCACCACCAUUGUUUUCACCAUUGUUAUCACCAUUAUCAUCAUACACCAUUCAUUCGUCACACAUGCACAUCUUGAUUUGGCUUAUUGAUUUGUUUAUUUGGAUCCAUGGUUUGACUAUGCAAUAAAUGUCUUGUAAGUAUGUAUACUUUAUCUCCCACCUAUGAGCUCCAGAUAUUAAAGCCUUAUUAGAGUAGGGUGAGAGAGAAGACAAUGUCACUAUGCUUCAUACCACAAAUACCACAUAUAUUGAGAGAAGGCAUAUACCAUCACUGCCUUGGUAAGGAUCUAGAAAUACCACAAAAGAGAGAUCUGAGAGAGUCAUACAAGGAAUCUCUGAGUUUUAUUUGAAAAUCUGCAAAAACUCUAGAGCUAUAGCUGAUCAAGAAUAAGAGACAUGGCACUUGGCUAGACUGUUCUAUCUUUUAACCACUCAAGACAGAAGUGACGGUUACAAGUCCCAUGGUGAAGGUAAAGUAAGUAAGUUUUAAGUCUUGACAGUUUACUCUAACUCAGAGAUGAGAUCUUAUUUAAAAAGCAUGUGUACCGUCAAUUUUUAAAGAUUUUGCAAUUAUUUCUGAUCCAUAGCUGAGUCUAUCCUUGCUCAGGUACGAGCAAGAGGUAAGCUUGGGGGAGUUUGUUGACGGUCCUUAAGUAUCAAAUUUAAUUAUUAAAUAAACAAAGAAAAGUAUCCAAAUGAAAUCAACAUCUAGAUUUAGGGUUUUAUCUGACAGAAUUCCACGAGUUUUGGUGUUUGUCUAUUUCUGCAGGGGGUUAUCGGGAAAUAAGGAAGAAAGGCCCACAUGUCGGGAUUACAUAGAUAUAUCAACGCACCGCACGAUUUUACAUCAUCUAGAAGACUCCAGAAGCCACGAGACCGAAGCGGAGGCGAAACGGGGCCUGACCCUGGGCGCCCGCCCAGUUGGUCAGGGCGCCCGCCCUGCCCCUGAGUCCAAUCAGGACUCUGCUUUGCAGGAGAUUUCCACCGACCUAAAGGAUGAAUCUAAACCAUACAAUCUAUGUUUGUUUGAUCCAACGACCCAUAUUCACUUGAAGGGACUAUAAAACCAGACCCCCUGACCCCUGGAGGAGAGAGCCUCUCAACCCUAAUUCAUUGUUACAUCAAGGGAGAAGAAGCCUCUGAUCAAGAUUAGAGCCACCACAUCAAUUAGAUAUCUAGAUUAACAUAGCUACAUAGGAUUAGAACUAGAAGGAGUCAAUCUUCGAUUGGUUUCCAGAUCUGUCAGGAGGAUUCUUGGUAAUUCUCUAAUUGUGCUUCUAAUUGCUUUCUAAUUAUCUUUGUUCUUCAAUAUUAUGAAUAUGACUUUGUUCUACUUCAAUAUAUUGCUUAUGACUUUGCUCUACUUGCUUAUAUUCAAGAUUAUAUUGUUCUUAGUUUAUCAUAGUUAUGUACUUGGCUUAGUUAGAUUGGAUCUAUAUACAUGCUUAGGAUCGUAUAGCGUUUAUCCAUUGGAUCCAUGGGUAAAUGAUAGAUAUUGUGUAGGCGUGGUGCUUAUACCAUAUUUAUCUGCGAUUGUACCCAAUAUGCCAGAUCGUGGGGUGGUUCGUGAUAGUGACAGCUUCAUUGAUUCUUAUAUAGUCCCCCUCUCGUGUAUUGGGCUGGCAGAGCAACAUUAUUAUAGGGGAGUGAUUGCUAUGUUUCUCAUAUUCCUUGCUAAUAUCACUAUGCAUGGGCGUAGUCUUGUCUCGCAAUGAUUGCUAAGUAUGCUUGCACUAACUAUGAUAAUGCUAGACUAUAUAGUUGAGAAUAACUUAGGGAAUAUUCUUGUAGUUCGUUCUAAUACCAUGCUAAUGACUUUCUAGAGUAUCUAAUUGAGGUGCUUAUCAUAUUUAUUAUGUGGCUAGAUCAGAUUAAUUAUCUUUGUCGCUAUUAUUAUUUCAUAUAUCCUUUAUGUGACACUUAUCCUUGUAUGAAGAGUUAGAUAUAAUGUUCUCAAUUAUACAUGCAAUUAUAGAUUCUCAAUCUCAUAUUCUAUUCUGUAAUCAAUAGUGAUGAUUGCUAAUCCCUUCCCAGUGGUAAAAAUAUAAAUAACGAUACCUGGAAUACUUCCCGGUUAAAAUGCUGCAUCGGUAUUAAUCCGUGCGCUUGCAGAUCCCAUUCAUUAUUUAUUUAGAAGAGAAAUUGUAUAUUUCAAUACCGCGUCUCUUAUAUCAUGCUGGGGAUGACAACUUGGCUUAAGUGGUGUGAGGGAUAGGUUUGGCAUUUUUGGCACCAUUACUAGAUUUAGAGAACUUAGUUUACUUUUGGUAAUGAUGUUAAGAAUACCCAACAGUAACCCCAUUGUGGAAGUAAUUACUGACCUUCUGCCGGUCAAGAGAGGUGACCUUGGACGCCCCGUCAUCCUGAUCUCCAUCAGCAUGGUGGACUUUCCAGAAGCACUCUGCGACAUUGGCUCCAGCGUCAAUAUUAUGCCCAAGGUACGCUAUGAAAAAUUCUUUACACAUCCUUUACUAGAAACAACCAUGCGUUCGCAGCUUGCAGAUCGUACACUAAGUUUCCCAAAGAGAAUAUUGAACAACCUCUUCGUCCGAGUUGGUACCUUGUACGCUCCAGCAGACUUCAUGGUGAUAGAGACUGGUACUGAUGAGAGGGCACCCAUCCUAGGGAGGCCAUUCCUGAACACCUCAGGAGCUGUCAUCUACGCUAGUGCUGCCAAGAUCAGUUUCUACAUCAAAGGGAGAAAGGAGACAUUUUCCUUCAAGAACAAGACUACACAAAUCUCAGAGCAAUCCUGACAUGAACCAAGGAAGAGUACCAACAGGAGGAAUGGAAACAAGCAAAUGUGGACCAAGUCAGCUAAGAUGGUCACUGCAGUUCAAGGAGAUCAAGAUCAUCGACUUAAGUCACCGUUUCUAACCAAGAAGGACGACCUAGGAAUGCCAAGCAUCUAUUGCUCCAUCAAUGGGUACAACUUCUACAAGACGCUUUGUGACACUGGAUCUGACGUCAACAUAAUGGCCGCAGUCACUUAUCAGCUCCUGCAUGAAACCAUGCCCCUACAACCAACAUACAUUCAGCUCCAGAUGGCAGAUCAUACAUUCCGAAAGGUUAUUGACAUGGGAGAAGACGAGUACGAUCCACCCAUCAUCCUUGGGAGACCGUUCCUCAGCACCGUUAAAGCAAUCAUCUACAUUGGAAUCGGAGAAGUCCACAUGCACUUCCCCUCUGAGAAGGUACGCCGCUAUUUUACUGACCUUAACUAUAUAGUUGAAGACUCUAAGCAGAUCAGGACAAGAAGAAGACGACGCAACCGCAACCAGAGAAGACAAAUCAUCAAGGAUGGAUGGGCGGACUAUGAAGGAGAAGUUGUAAGGUCUAAAGACAUACAACUUGAGUAGAACUAUCCUGAGGAGACCGUAGCACCGAGUCAGGUGUGUAGAGAAAAGAUAGUUAUACAUGAAGACCAGGCGCCGCUGGAACCACCGACUACGUCAUCCAGCGAAUCCCAGGACGACUGAGAAAAUGGAGAUUCACGUUCGGAGGACUUAAAAACACCGAACGCCUUGCCAAGAGGUAAACUUCGUAGUUAUUUUUUUCCUUUCAAUUAUUUUAAAAUAGUUUGCUUAGUUAAUCAGGUUCAUAUCAUCUUGAAAAGAAAAUAAAAAUGUUAAAAAUAGUAAGCCCCAUGUGAGUAUGCUGGCAUAAAACCCAUAAGUACAUUCACUGUGGUGGCGUAAAAAAUGAAAUAAAUAUAUUCCUGUCCUAUAAAAAUAAAAUUACAAAAAUAGAUUUAUGAUCCUACUAAAGAGAGUAACAUUUAUUGAGGAGGCUCAACAUGAUAAAGGCUAGAUAUUUAUGCUAACACUUAACUAGUUCCACAAAGCUUUGUUGUCUAUUUGAGCUCCGCAGAAUUCAAGGAUCAAAGAAGACUAGCAGACAGAGGACAUCCUAAUCGCUGUCAGAGUGCUGCCGACAUUCAAAUACACCUCCGCCACCUGCUAGCUACAUUAGAAGAAAUUAUGUCAAAAUCCAGCUUGGGGGAGAGCACUCCCAUUUAUCCAGCUAAGUGUUCUACUCACGUUUAUACUUUACUCAAAUAAUAAAAAGAUGCAUAAUCAUAAAAACCCAAAUAAAGAUUUUGUGCUUAUUUAUAUAUAUAUCUUUGCUUGGUUUGCUAAAUAAAUAAAUAAAUAAAGUUUGCUAUGAACCCUCAUGAUAAGCUCUCACAUGGAAAUGAUGAAUAGUUGCUCUGCCAUGACUAGUUCUCAAAAUUGAAAUCUCUCUCAAGUUUAGACAUAACUGUUAUAAUUUAAAGCUUGCUCUAAACCUGAACUUGUGGGAAGAGUACUUGAUCUAAAGUCUAAGUCGUUAACGGAUACGAUAUGGGAAGGUUGAGCUGCUGUUUAUCUCUUCCUACAGAUGCUAGAAUUCUGGAGAAUUUUAUCUUUCAAAAUAUUUAAAAUGUUGCAUGAUGAGUUCUUGUAUGAUGAGAGUUUAAAUUCCUACCACAGCCAUAUAUACAUGCUUGUUAGACUAUGAACCAUACAUUUACUUUUUACUUCUUAUGAGCAUUGAGUGUGGUCAAGCUGUGUAGACCCUUAGGAGCUUGUCAUGUGGUUAAAUCAAGAUUCACUUGCACGUUCACUCACAAAUGGUGCUUCUACUCCGGAAGUACGCAUCCACAUAUAUCCACCCAUUUCCAUCUCCAGAAUCACCUAAAAAUAUUCUACUCCUAAUCCGGGAGAGAAUAGCCAAAAACAUUUCUGUUUUUCCCUAUGAAAUAAAUGCUCAAGUUAUCUUGGUUACUACCACUUGCUAUAUUAUUUCAGGAGAUGCGUGCUCUAAAAAAAGAGAGAAAAAAAAGAAAGAAUACGAGGAAAUAAAAAGGGGCAAGUGCCCGGAACGUCGAAGAAAAGAAAAAGUGAGACGAGAGGUAAAAAUGGACAAGUGUCCGACAGUAGAAUUAGGGGUACAAGAUACCCACCUGAGAGAAAAGAAAAAGGAAAUAUAGAGCAUCUCAUUCACCUCAAAAAGUUUCAAAAGAGCAAGAAAGGUAUGUAUCCCCUCAAAAGAGCACAAGUAAAAUUAGACUUUCACCAUUGUUAUCACCAUCAUCCCCAUACACCAUUCAUUCGCCACACAUGCACAUCUUGAUUUGACUUAUUGACUUGUUCUUCUGGAUCCAUGGUUUGACUAUGCAAUAAAUAUCUUGUAUGUAUUAGUUGUCUCCCACCUAUGAGCUCCAGAUAUCAAAACCUUAUUAGAGUAGGGUGAGAGAGAAGGCAAUGCCACUAUGCCUCAUACCAAAAAUACUACAUACUUUGAGAGAAGGCAUACACCAUUACUGCCUUGGUAAGGAUCCAGAAAUACCACAAAAGAGAGACUAGAGAGAGUCAUACAAGGAAUCUCUGAGUUUUAUUUGAAAAUCUGCAAAAACUCCAGAGCUAUAGUUAAUCGAAGAACAUGAGACAUGGCGCUUGACUAGACCGUUCUAUCUUUUAACUGCUCAAGACACAAGUGACGGUUGCAAGCCCCAUGGUGUAAGGUAAUAUGAGUAAGUUUAAAUCUUAACAGUUUACCCUAAACCAGAGAUGAGAUCUUGUUUGAACGCAUGUAUAUCUUUAAGGCAUGAAACCACUACAGAAACUCUCGAGUUCAUCUUUGCUCAGGGACGAGCAAAGGUUAAGCUUGGGGGAGCUUGUUGACGGUCCUUAAUGCUCACAUUUAACCAUCAACUAAUCAUGGAAAAGGAUCUAAAUGGAACCAACACAUAGACCUAGGGUUUUAUCUGACAGAAUUCCAUGAGUUUUGGUGUUUGUCUAUUUCUGCAAGGGGUUAUCAGGAAAUACGGAAGAAAGGCCCACACGUCGGGUUUACAUAGAGAUAUUAACGUGCCGCGCAAUUUUCUAUCAUCUAGAAGACUCCAGAAGCCAUGGGACCGAAGCAGAAGCUGAGAGGGCUCAGGGACAGGGCGCCCACCCUGGAGUUCUGCCCAAUCACGUCCAAACUCGCGUAUCGUGCUCCACCGACCUAAGGGAUCAAGGAUAACCGUUCAAUCAGUGUCGGUUUGAUCCAACGGCCCAUAUUCACUUGAAGGGACUAUAAAACCAGACCCCC